Molecule: long non-coding RNA, 3630 nt
Filed under: Equus caballus (horse)
Lineage: Eukaryota; Metazoa; Chordata; Mammalia; Perissodactyla; Equidae
Description: lncRNA (ENSECAG00000047980.1)
Source: RNAcentral
GAAAAAUAGCAAAAUGAUAUAUUUAAACCCAACUAUAUCAACAGUGACAUUAAACGGAAGUGGUCUACAUAGCCAAUUACAGACAGAGAUUGUCAGGUUGCUCCAAAACAACAAAAAAACCCAACUAUAUGCUGCCUCUGAGAAAACCACUUUAAAUAUAUAAAUAGGAUUAAAGUAAAAGGAUGGAAAAAUAUGUACUAUGCUAACAGUAACCAGAAGAAAGCUAAGGAAUGUUAACAUUAUUAAUUAAUAUUGCUAUGUUAAUAUCAAAGUAUAUUUCAGAGCAAAUAUUACAAAGAAUACAAAAGGCCAUUUCAUAAUAAUAAAGGGGCUGGGGCUGGCCCUGUGGCCGAGGGGUUAAGUUCAUGCGCUCCACUUUGGCGGCCCAGGGUUUCACUGAUUCGGAUCCUGGGCGCAGACAUGGCACUGCUCAUCAGGCCAUGUUGAGGCGGCGUCCCACAUGGCUCAACUAGAAGAACCCACAACUAAAAUGUACAACUAUGUAUUAGGGGGAUUUUUGGGGAAUAAACAGAAAAAAUAAUAAAGGGACCAAUUAAAUAAGAGCAUAACUAUCAUAAGUGUUUAUACAUCUAAUAACAGGGCUUCAAAAUAAUAAAACAAAAAUUAUAGAAUUAUAAGGCAAAACAGACAAUCCUUAAUAAGAGCGUUGUUUUUUUUUUUUGAGGAAGAUUAGCCCUGAGCUAACAUCCGUGCCCAUCUUCCUCUACUUUAUAUGUGGGAUGCCUACCACAGCAUGGCUUGCCAAGUGGUGCCAUGUCCAAACCCAGGAUCCGAACCUGAGAACCCCAGGCCACCAAAGCGGAAUGUGUGCACUUAACCGCUGCACCACCAGGCCAGCCCCAAGAGAUUUCAAACAGGCCCCUCAACAAUUGACAGAACAAGUAAACAUAAAAUCAGUAAGGCUAUAAAAGGCUUGAACAACACUAUCAACGUUCGACCUUCCUGCCAUUUAUAUAGCACUCCAUCCAACCACAACAGAAUGUACAUUCUUUUCAAGGGCAUACAGAACAUUUAUGGCAUGGAGAAUAUUCUAGCGAUAAAACAAGUCUCAAUAAAUUUAAAAAGAUUCAAAUCAUACAAAGUAUGUUCUCAGACUACAGUGAAAUUAAAUAAGAAAUCAAUAACAAAGACAAAUCUGGAAAAUAUCCAAAUAUUUGGAAAUUAAUUUACGCACUAAUAAAUGGCUCAUAGGUCAAAGAAGAAAUCAGAGUACUUUGAACUGAAUGAAGUGAAAAGACACAUCAAAGUUUGUGAGAUGCAGAUAAAGCAGUUCUUAGAGGAAAAUUUAUAUGACACUAAACACUUAGAAAAGGUCACAAAUCAGUGACCUCAGCUUUGACCUUAAACUAGAAAAAGAAAAAAUUAAGUUCAAAGUAAGCAGAAGAAAGGAAAUAAUAAAGAGCACAAUGGAAAUCAAUGAAAUGGAAACAGAAAAUAAAGGAAACGAAUGGAACCAAAGUUGAAUUUUUAAGAUCAAUAAAAGUGGUAAAUCUCUAACCCAGGGGUUGCCAGGCCAUGGCUCAUAAUCCAGCUGCCUGUUUUUGUAAAUAAAGUUCUAUUGGAAGUCUCAUCCAUUCGUGUAUUGUCCAUGGCUGCAUUCACUCUGUAACAGCAUUGUUGAGUAGUUUAGCAAUAGAGACCAUAUGGCCUGCAAAGCCUUAAAUAUUUUACUCUAUUUGAACUUCAAUAGAAAAUGUUUGGGGAUCCUGCUCUAGCCAAACAGAUCAGGAAAAGAGGAAAGACACAAAUUAUCAACAUCAGGAAUGAGAGAGGUGACAUCACUACAGAUCUUACAGAUACUUUUAAAAUAAUAAGGGACUAUUAUGAACACUUUUAUGCCAAUAAAUUAAAAAACUUACAGAAAUGGGCAAACUGCUUGAAAAACAAACCACCAAAGCUCCCUCAAGAAGAAAUGGAUAACCUGUAUAACACCGUGUCUCUUAAAACUGAUAAAAGGAUCAUACUUCUUCAUGGGUGAGAUUUGGUAGUUUGUGGUUUUCAAGGAAUUGGUCUGUUUCUCCCAGGCCCUUUCAAGGGUUCACCUGAUUAGCUCAGGCCCACUCAGGAUAGUCUCCCUCGUUACUCACUCAUAGCCAAUUGACUUGAGACUUUACUUACAACUGCAGAAUCCCUUCUGCUUUGUCAUAUAACAUAACCUAAUAAUGAGAGUGAAAUCCACCAUAUUCAUAGUCCUGCCCACACUCAAAGGGGAAGGAAUUAUAGAGAGCGUGUACACCAGGAGGCAGGAAUUCUCAGGGCCAACUUAGAAUUCUGCUUACCACAAAUAAGGAAACACAAAUUUCUUCACUGCAACAUUAUUUUCAAUCAUAAGAUAUUGGAAACAACAUACAUAAGAGAAUGGGUGAAUAAACCAUAGGACAUCCACACAAUGCAGUGGUUUUUAACCGAGAUAUAAUUCACACAUAUAUAUAUACACACAAUGGACUGAUUUUGAAAAUAUGCUAUUAAGUGAGAAAAGCAAAGUUCAAGAGUAUUUAUAGUAUGCUACCUCUGGUGUAAGAAAAGGAAAUAAGAAACUACACAUGUAUUUGGUUAUUUUGGCAAAAAGAAACAAGAGGAGGGGCCAGCCAGUGGUGUAGUGGUUAACUUCAUGCACUCCACUUUGGUAGCCUGAGAUUCAUGGGUUCAGAUCCUGAGUAUAGACCUACACCCUGCUUAUCAAGCCAUGCCGUGGCAGCAUCCCACAUACAGAAUAGAGGAAGAUUGGCACACAUGUUAGCUGAGGGCCAAUCUUCCUCAUUGAAAAGAAAGAAGAAAUAAGAGGCAUGUUUUGGAAUAAAGGAUGGAGAUGUUGAGUGGGGAUGGAAGGCAUAAGGGCUAAUGACCCUUCGGAGUACACCUUUUCUUAGUUUUAACUUGGAACCAUAUUAAUAUUGUAUAUACUGCAAAAUACAACCAAGUCUAGGUGGAAAAGAAAACCCUAAGGUGGAAUAUAAACAAAAACAAAUUAACAUAAAUGUAUUUCAAAUGAAUAACCUAACCACACUGAAGGACGCGGGAAAGAAAACUAACUCAAAUUUUGAACACAUUUAUUUAUUUGUUUGCUGGGGAAGACCCCCCCUGAGCUAACAUCUGUGCCAAUCUUCCUCCACUUUAUACGUGGGACACUGUCACAGCAUGGCUGACAAGUGGUGUGUGUAGGUCCACAACCAGGAUCCAAACCCGCGAACCGGGCCACUGAAGCAGAGCGCGCCAAACUUAAUCACUAGGCCACAGGGGUGGUCCCUUGAACACAUUAUUUUGACUAUAUACCCUCAUUAUAAAGUCAAAAAGAGCUGUUAACAAAUAUUUAACUCAUUAGUAGGUUUUCUGCAGUGGUAAGGGUUAGCAAUUCUGAAACUACUUUCUCUGCAUUUUAGGAUCAAGCAAAAAAGUAAAUAUAUUGAGAAUAGUGGGAGUCAGAUUUGUCAUCGUUGAAGGCAAAGGACAGAAUAAACCCUGUAGUGAUGGACUGAAAUUGGAUGUCCUGUUAGGAACUCAUGGUGGCAUAUACAGAUAUGAAAAUACGCAUAUAACACACAUACGUAUUACAUAUAUACACAGACACACAUGUAACAUAUUUCCUAGCUCUGCUGACAGGAUCUGGAA